This 74-nucleotide transfer RNA is filed under the name Metamycoplasma cloacale. RNAcentral's name for it is "Mycoplasma cloacale tRNA-Trp". It matches the Rfam family "tRNA". Rfam says of the family: Transfer RNA (tRNA) molecules are approximately 80 nucleotides in length. Lineage: Bacteria; Bacillati; Mycoplasmatota; Mycoplasmoidales; Metamycoplasmataceae. The record is from RNAcentral.
AGGGAAUUAGUUUAACGGCAGAACAAAGGACUCCAAACCCUUUGGUGUUGGUUCGAAUCCAUCAUUCCCUGCCA